RNAcentral lists this ribosomal RNA (636 nucleotides) under Streptomyces violascens. Its description in RNAcentral is "bacterial SSU rRNA". It matches the Rfam family "Bacterial small subunit ribosomal RNA", at positions 56 to 707 of the family's 1533-position model. The record is from RNAcentral. Lineage: Bacteria; Bacillati; Actinomycetota; Actinomycetes; Kitasatosporales; Streptomycetaceae.
UGCAAGUCGAACGAUGAACCGCUUUCGGGCGGGGAUUAGUGGCGAACGGGUGAGUAACACGUGGGCAAUCUGCCCUGCACUCUGGGACAAGCCCUGGAAACGGGGUCUAAUACCGGAUAUGACUGUCCAUCGCAUGGUGGAUGGUGUAAAGCUCCGGCGGUGCAGGAUGAGCCCGCGGCCUAUCAGCUUGUUGGUGAGGUAGUGGCUCACCAAGGCGACGACGGGUAGCCGGCCUGAGAGGGCGACCGGCCACACUGGGACUGAGACACGGCCCAGACUCCUACGGGAGGCAGCAGUGGGGAAUAUUGCACAAUGGGCGAAAGCCUGAUGCAGCGACGCCGCGUGAGGGAUGACGGCCUUCGGGUUGUAAACCUCUUUCAGCAGGGAAGAAGCGAAAGUGACGGUACCUGCAGAAGAAGCGCCGGCUAACUACGUGCCAGCAGCCGCGGUAAUACGUAGGGCGCAAGCGUUGUCCGGAAUUAUUGGGCGUAAAGAGCUCGUAGGCGGCUUGUCACGUCGGUUGUGAAAGCCCGGGGCUUAACCCCGGGUCUGCAGUCUAUACGGGCAGGCUAGAGUUCGGUAGGGGAGAUCGGAAUUCCUGGUGUAGCGGUGAAAUGCGCAGAUAUCAGGAGGAAC